Molecule: long non-coding RNA, 4609 nt
Filed under: Triticum aestivum (bread wheat)
Lineage: Eukaryota; Viridiplantae; Streptophyta; Magnoliopsida; Poales; Poaceae
Description: long non-coding RNA (TAES_LNC003088)
Source: RNAcentral
CGUCUUCAUGGAACUCUGUUGUUCAACAAAAGUAUUGCCAUGAGUACAUUACAUACUCAACAUGCCUCCCACGGGGAAGGACCUAAUAGCUACAUGUGGCUUCAAAUGGCUCAUUUGCAUAAAGCUAAUUUUGUUUGACAAAUAAAGUAGUUGAAUAAUAGCGGUUUUAGAUGAAAACAUGUUUUAUCUCCAGAAUAAUAUCUUUCUUCAAGUGAGGAUCCUCGAUCAACUCACGUCCUUCAUAGGUUUCAAGAAUAGGGGCAAAGAGGGAAUAAGCAAGACAGGUCCCGUACGUCAAGAAAGAUUCAUGUGCUAUCCAUGACCGUGGACACGGCUAUUACACUUUACCCACACGACACAAUCCCGACUUGUUGCCACCAGUGGCUGCUGGCGUAGUACACCUUUUGGUAUACCGGCAGGGAUUGUGACGAGGUCUUUCAUUAGACCAAACUUACUGUGCCAAGCCCACUAGGUUUCAACACGAAAGUAACUGCAGUUCACAGUCCGGGCCCCCCUUUUGUGCCGAGGAUACUCCUCGCAAGGCAGCUAUCCCAUCUGCGGUACGGCGAUGACGACAAUAAGAGUGAACUAACUAAUUAACCAAGCCAGUGCCCAUAUAGCAUGUGGCUGUACUGUUAUCACAAUCUUCAAAUCCAAGACUUAUUAGGCCUCAUGCAGCACAGACGACUGAUUGCCCCCUUCAACACGUGAAGGGUGGCCAAUCACUCCUUCAAUCCUUGAUUCAGCUGUCGCACGCACCAGUAUUCAGAUGAUAAGUUUCACCCAGAGUAGAAGAGGAUAGAGAAGGUCAACAAGGGCCUACUGUCCUAGCUCAGCGUUAAGUUUCAACUGUCAAUGACUUAGAGGUCAUUCAACAAAGCACCUAUAGGGUGAUAAGCAUGGCUAAGCAUUUCUACUCUACCAGAAUUAUGUACUUCUACUUAGGUGUCAAGUAAAUAGGCGACAAGCGGAUAAGGGUAAUGUGUCAAUCGACAUGCUAGUUACGAGAAAUAAAAUAGCAUGCAUAUAGUAACAAUAAAACUCAAUGCAAUUUUGUAAACCAUAGGAUAAGUAUGAUAAAAAAAGGAGGCAUGCCUUCGUUGUUUAGUCCUUUUUUUGGAAACCUGGUUCUGUUGAUGUCCAACCUCGUCACUCCCUACUCGUUGUAACGAUAGAAAAAGCAAACAAUAAAUACCAAAGCAAUAGCAAAUCCAAAUAACAUUCAAAACAAUUUAAGAGUGGAUAGAUAGCAAGAUAUCGAUCAACAUGGAGAUUCCAAAAGGAUAUAGCACGAUUGGAAGGUAAGUAGAGAGGAUUCGACGGAUAGGCGGGGUUUAGGUUGAAGAUGACUAACGAAGGCCUGGUGACCAAGACUAACGUUCUGAUUCGAACUAUGCGAUUAAACAUAGUAGUGCCCACUACACACCUCGACUAACUAUAUAAAAAUCUAUAAACGCGCAUGAAAUGGAACCAUCUUAUGCAUCUUAACUACACAAGCACAACAUGGCUGAUUAAACGUAACAAUUAACCACAAAUAAAUAUUUAGAAGUAUCUAAAUAUUUAUAAUGGUUAACAACAAGGAAAUUCUAAACAUCAACCAUAGCAGCUAUUAGGAAGCAUCUAUGUAACAAAAGACAACUAAUGUUAUGGUAGAAACUAAUUAAACAACUUAAUAUAAAAACACACAUCUCACACAAGGCAUGUGAGUAUAGGAACAUACAGAUGUCUUAAAUAAUAACACAAGCAUCACACAUAAAAGUUAUCAAGAGAAGAUACUAAAUUAGGACAUGCUCUUAAUAAUAAAGAACAACUAAUACCAAUGAUUACUAGCAAUACUAUUAUCACCACAUGCUUACAAUAACAAGGCAUGAUACACACACUGAGUGUGUGAUCAAAGCACAACUCUACUGACAUGACAUAUGACUCGUCCUAAGUUUAAGAGUCAUAGCAAGUAUUAAAACACUCAUAAGACUAAGAUGUAAUGAAGUUAAACAUCUAUAAGAAAGAACUAACUAAGCAACCAUAACACACGCAACACCAUAAGACAUGAAAGAUUACUUGCAUGAAAUAUGUCUAGGCAUAUCAUAAUGCAAUAAAAAGGUAAACAAAACAUAUCAAAUGCCACGCAUACAACAAUGCAAUAACCAGAUAAACUCAUAUGAUGUGUAAACAUGGAUGGUCAUCACACGAGAUACCACACUGCCAUACCAAUAGAAUAGAAUGAAACACCCAACUUAGUUCAUAUCGACUACAUAAAUAGAAAGCAUGGAAAUAGGACACAACUCUAUGAGACUAGUUGACACGCAUGAACAUGGAAGCAUGAAAGUAGCACACAACAAUUGUUGUUUAUAACAUACAAACACAUGGACACAUCAUACUAAGCAUGUAGGCAAUUUAAACCACUAAAUCAUGCCGUCAACAAUAUCAAGUAAUAUCCUAUACUCGAAUGAGUAACAAGAUGGCAAGCAUUCGUAUGUUGUAGAACCUACACUUGCAACUGCAUAGUGGACAACUAGGCAUGAUCUAAUACAUGAAUACACACACACACACACACACACACACACACACACACUCUAUGCCCUCUAGUUAUACAAUCACAAAAUCAUGGCACGAUAUUGAAGCAAGAAGGAAUCUUGCUGAGUUAUAAUAUAUGAGAUCAUAAACUACUAACAUGUACCUCUUCCAAGCAAAUAUUAAUCAUAAGAUUGGUCAUGCAAUACAAAGUAGUAAUCAUAUAACACAUGGUAGGCUUACCAUAGAAACAUGCAUUCUACUUUGAGUAAGUACUACACAACCUAGCAAUCAACUAAGCAUGCACAACUAUCAUCCUAGGUAAACAAAACACCUAGGGUAAUUAAUAAAUAAUAAACAUGGUUAUGUGCUAGAAGCAUAAACCAUAUUCAACAAUAUAAAUCUAAAAUAUAAACCAACUAGGUAAUCUAGGAUGGUGAGAUCUACAAAAGCAGAGGAACAACUACGCCAUAAUGUGUUAUGCAAUAGGGAACUAUAUUGGAUUUAUUCUAAAGUAACAUAGCACUUCAUUUCACAGCUAGAACCUAGCAUAAAGAAAACUAUGCAAAAUCACACAUGAUAAAUACUUAAACAACUAUCAUAGGCAUGACAUGAUUUCAAACCAAUAAAUUCACAUGCAACAUGGAUGAACAUGAAUAUGUAAACUAUAUCUAAGAUAUAUCCAUAAUAAGCAAAAAAUAAAGUAAUCAAAACAUGGAAUAUUCCAUAAUUAAAUGAAACAAGCAAAACUUAAGAGUAAUUCACCAUAAAUCUAAAUAUCUCAGAAAUUGUUACAAAUAGAUAUCAUACUACUACAAUCAUACAAGAAAUGCUAAUAUAAUCAUAAGCGCUUCACAUAUCAACAAUUCAUGCAACAACUAUCGUACACCUAUAGACAUCAAACAAAUCUUAAUGAUUAAACAUGGAGAUUUCUACGCAUGGCAAUAGUUCUCAAAAAUUAGAACACAAGCAUAAAAAGAAAUAUAUAUAGGGUAGCACAAAUUACCGCGCCAAAGAAAAUACGUAUAACUAUUUUAACAAUUUAAACAAGAGUAAAAUAAAUCUAUUAAAUCAUACGCUACUCCUAAUAAUAUGAAAUAACUAGGAGCGAUUCCUAGGCAUAUCAAAAACAAAUGAAAAUAACAUUCAAACAAAAAGUUCACCGAAUAUUGUACACAUGCAUAAAGUGAACUAUACGCGAUACAACAAAUUGUCUAGCCGAAACAACAUGCAAAACCUAUUUUAAAUAACUCCAAUUGAUAAACAAAUACAUCUAACAACUCACAUGUGAAACUAAAAUUAUGAGAGACAUAUCCCGAACAUAUGGAAAUAGCAUAUUACAAAAAGAUCAUCAAACUAGAAAGCCUCUUGUAUUCUACCGCAAAAAUGACUACGAAAAUAUAAAUUGUACCGCUUGCAAGAUCAAACUAUCAAUCUAACACGACAAUAUGAUUACUACAGCCACAAGAAACCUUUUAUACGUUGACCACACGAUCAUCCGACGGGCAGAAAAUAAAAAGACAAGCCGACGCUAUCAAUUAUAAUUUGGUUUUGGACACAUGCGGCCAACGACAUAGAUAGAUUGAAUCAUGAUGUCUAGGAGGUACUACAUGUGACACUUAGAAGGCGUGCAAGAGGAAUUUGGUAGAGGCUCACCGAGUUUGAUGGAACGGUGCGAUGAACUCGACGAACAGUGUAGACGUACAUGCAGAAUUCUUCAUGUACAGUCGACGGUACGAACUUCAUCUUCCCUGAAUGGAUUCAUGACAUGGUGGAGAAGAACCUGGCGCAACCGCGCAAGGGUUUGGAUGAAGAUGGCGUGCAUCACCGGGAUCAAGCACAGCGUCCAUGGAGCAUCAUCUUUUUAAGAGAGUUUCUGGACAGGAAGAGGAAGCAAGAGGGCAGUGGAUUGAGAAACGGUUGAGAGAUUAAGAGAGUUCAAGGGAGGGUGAUUCAUUCAUUGGUGUGGCUCUCCCUUCGUGUACUUGUGCCUGUACGUUUACGUGCGUGAAGGCAGGAGACGAUGGGCUGGCACGGGGAGAUAAACCAAGUGGAAGAUAAAAGGAAAGAAGACAAAUUAAAGGAGUGAAUGGGCGUG